RNAcentral lists this ribosomal RNA (492 nucleotides) under uncultured bacterium. Its description in RNAcentral is "partial 16S ribosomal RNA". It matches the Rfam family "Bacterial small subunit ribosomal RNA", at positions 29 to 507 of the family's 1533-position model. The record is from RNAcentral.
AGUGAACGCUGGCGGUAGGCCUAACACAUGCAAGUCGAACGGCAGCACAGUAAGAGCUUGCUCUUACGGGUGGCGAGUGGCGGACGGGUGAGGAAUACAUCGGAAUCUACUUUUUCGUGGGUGAUAACGUAGGGAAACUUACGCUAAUACCGCAUACGACCUACGGGUGAAAGCAGGGGAUCUUCGGACCUUGCGCGAUUGAAUGAGCCGAUGUCGGAUUAGCUAGUUGGCGGGGUAAAGGCCCACCAAGGCGACGAUCCGUAGCUGGUCUGAGAGGAUGAUCAGCCACACUGGAACUGAGACACGGUCCAGACUCCUACGGGAGGCAGCAGUGGGGAAUAUUGGACAAUGGGCGCAAGCCUGAUCCAGCCAUACCGCGUGGGUGAAGAAGGCCUUCGGGUUUUAAAGCCCUUUUGUUGGGAAAGAAAAGCAGCAGGUUAAUACCCCGCUGUUCUGACGGUACCCAAAGAAUAAGCACCGGCUAACUUCGUG